CGAGGGUGCAAGCGUUAAUCGGAGUUACUGGGCGUAAAGGGUGCGUAGGCGGAUAUUCAAGUCGGGUGUGAAAGCCCCGGGCUCAACCUGGGAACUGCAUUCGAUACUGGGUAUCUAGAGUAUGGUAGAGGGAAGUGGAAUUUCCGGUGUAGCGGUGAAAUGCGUAGAUAUCGGAAAGAACACCAAUGGCGAAGGCAGCUUCCUGGACCAAUACUGACGCUGAGGCACGAAAGCGUGGGGAGCAAACAGGAUUAGAGACCCGAGUAGUCC
RNAcentral lists this ribosomal RNA (270 nucleotides) under uncultured archaeon. RNAcentral's name for it is "partial 16S ribosomal RNA". It matches the Rfam family "Bacterial small subunit ribosomal RNA", at positions 527 to 796 of the family's 1533-position model. The record is from RNAcentral.